GAUGAAGAACGCAGCGAAAUGCGAUAAGUAAUGUGAAUUGCAGAAUUCAGUGAAUCAUCGAAUCUUUGAACGCAUCUUGCGCUCCUUGGUAUUCUGAGGAGCAUGCCUGUUUGAGUGUCAUUAAAUUCUCAACUACACUGACUUUGAAUUGGUGUGGCUUGGAUUUGGGGGGAAAAUUGUUGUGGGCUUUUUGUAUAGUCUGCUCCCCUGAAAUUGAUUAGCGGUACCUUUGUGGAACUGUCUACAGGUGUGAUAAUUAUCUACAUCUUAGACAUCUGCUGGAAUGCUGCUUUCUAAACCUUACUUGUAUUGACAAUCUUGACCUCAAAUCAGGUAGGACUACCCGCUGAACUUAAGCAUAUCAAUAAGCGAGA
This 374-nucleotide unclassified non-coding RNA is filed under the name soil metagenome. RNAcentral's name for it is "partial contains 5.8S ribosomal RNA, internal transcribed spacer 2, and large subunit ribosomal RNA". The stretch from base 1 to 120 matches the Rfam family "5.8S ribosomal RNA", at positions 35 to 154 of the family's 154-position model. The record is from RNAcentral.